UGCACUUGGGUGGAUGAUUGGGGAAGUUGCAGGUGAACUUGGACGGAUGAUCGGUGAAUCGUCAGGCAAAUUCCUCUUACUAUGAUGAGUACUAGGUGGUGAAAUUUCAGGUGCACUUGGGUGGAUGAUUGGGGAAGUUGCAGGUGAACUUGGAUGGAAGAUUGGUGAACCCUCAGGAAAAUUCUCCUUACCAUGAUGAAUACUAGGUGGCAAAAUUUCAUGUGCACUUGGCUGGAUUAUUGGAGAAAUUGCAGGCGAACUUGGAUGAAUGAUUGGCAAAUCAUCAGGCAAAUUCUUCUUACUAUGAUGAGUACUAGGCGGCAAAAUUUCAGGUGCACCUGGCUGGAUUAUUGGAGAAGUUGCAGGUGAACUUGGAUGAAUGAUUGGCAAAUCAUCAGAGAAAUUCUUCUUACUAUGAUGAGUACUAGGUGGCAAAAUUUCACGUGCACCUGGCUGGACUAUUGGAGAAAUUGCAGGUGAACUUGAAUGGACGGUUGGUAAAUUAUCAAGCGAAUUCUUCUUACUAUGAUGAGUAUUAGGCGGCAAAAUUUCAGGUGCACUUGGCUGGAUUAUUGGAGAAGUUGCAGGUGAACUUGGAUGAAUGAUAGGCAAAUCAUCAGACAAAUUCUUCUUAACAUGAUGAGUGCUAGGCGGCAAAAUUUCAGGUGCACUUGGCUGGAUUAUUGGAGAAGUUGCAGGUGAACUUGGAUGAAUGAUCGGCAAAUCAUCAGACAAAUUCUUCUUACUAUGAUGAGUGCUAGGGGGCAAAAUUUCAGGUGCACUUGGCCGGAUGAUUGGAGAAGUUGCAGGUGAACUAGGAUGAAUGAUUGGCAAAUCAUCAGACAAAUUCUUCUUACUAUGAUGAUUACUAGGCGGCAAAAUUUCAGGUGCACUUGGCUGGAUUAUUGGAGAAGUUGCAGGUGAACUUGGAUGAAUGACUGGCAAAUCAUCAGAAAAAUUCUUCUUACUAUGAUGAGUACUAGGUGGCAAAAUUUCAGGUGCACUUGGCUGGAUUAUUGGAGAAGUUGCAGGUGAACUUGGAUGAAUGAUUGGCAAAUCAUCAAACAAAUUCUUCUUACUACGUUGAGUACUAGGCGGCAAAAUUUGAGGUGCACUUGGCUGGAUUAUUGGAGAAAUUGCAGGUGAACUUGGAUGGACGAUUGGUGGAUCUUCAGACAAAUUCUU
This 1185-nucleotide long non-coding RNA is filed under the name Manihot esculenta (cassava). RNAcentral's name for it is "long non-coding RNA (MESC_LNC001397)". The record is from RNAcentral. Lineage: Eukaryota; Viridiplantae; Streptophyta; Magnoliopsida; Malpighiales; Euphorbiaceae.